AAGCUACAAACAGUCAAAGAACUUCUUCACUGUACUGUUACUCAUUGGUUGAGCAAAACUCAUUGAAAUCCAUGUAUGUUUUGACUGAACAACAAUAAAGGAGUUUAGAAUAGAUUUAAAAGAAAUUCUGCUAGCCUGAAAUUUUCCAGGCUCCCUUCCUAUGUAACAUUUAGAAAAAUCAGCAUACCUUGGCUUCCUUUGUGCUGAGGAAGAUGUAAACCACAGAUUAACAUCCCCCAAUUAACAACUGAGUAAUUUCAUAUCUGAGUUCCUCUUGAACUCAUGAGCAAAACCCAUCUGCUCAUGGAAAUUUUUAUAUUUGUGUUUCUUUUCAUUUAUCCUUAGACUUCUUCUACAAGAAAUCUAGUGUGAGGCAGUUCUGCCUUCUCCCCCACAGAGAAAGGAUCUGGUCUCAUUUGGGAGCGCACAUCUUUGAUCAGGGGUCCAUCCUGCAUUCAGAUCUCCUGCUGGCAAACAGCUUCAAAGUGGCUUUGCUCUUCCAAGGGAAUAGAGUAUCUGAACAACACACACGGAAUGAUCCACACACUUCCAGUUCUAACAAACCUACUUCUGUGCAAGCAGAGCAACUGAAACGCAGAUGAGAGACAACAUAGGAAUGUACACCUGCGACCUGCUGUACUUUUGUAUGUGAAUGCUUCCCAGUGCUUAACGUGUUUUUAAUGAAUUUGAGUGUUGGGAAAGAAGACAGAAACUUUCAAAAUCUAUCAGCCAAAACUUUUUUCCAUGUUCAUCUCAGAGGAACUAUUCCUGAAUGUGGUAUUUGGUGAUAUGAGAAAUAAGACCAAUCUGGUCUGUUGUCUCCCCUUACAUCUUAAUGUGGAAGCUAUUUGCUAAGCA
RNAcentral lists this long non-coding RNA (858 nucleotides) under Chrysolophus pictus (golden pheasant). RNAcentral describes it as "lncRNA (ENSCPIG00010005295.1)". Lineage: Eukaryota; Metazoa; Chordata; Aves; Galliformes; Phasianidae. The record is from RNAcentral.